AGCCACACUGGAACUGAGACACGGUCCAGACUCCUACGGGAGGCAGCAGUGGGGAAUAUUGCACAAUGGGCGCAAGCCUGAUGCAGCCAUGCCGCGUGUGUGAAGAAGGCCUUCGGGUUGUAAAGCACUUUCAGCGGGGAGGAAGGCGUUAAGGUUAAUAACCUUGGCGAUUGACGUUACCCGCAGAAGAAGCACCGGCUAACUCCGUGCCAGCAGCCGCGGUAAUACGGAGGGUGCAAGCGUUAAUCGGAAUUACUGGGCGUAAAGCGCACGCAGGCGGUCUGUCAAGUCGGAUGU
Molecule: ribosomal RNA, 297 nt
Filed under: Klebsiella pneumoniae
Lineage: Bacteria; Pseudomonadati; Pseudomonadota; Gammaproteobacteria; Enterobacterales; Enterobacteriaceae
Description: partial 16S ribosomal RNA
Rfam family: Bacterial small subunit ribosomal RNA
Source: RNAcentral